AGUGGCGGACGGGUGAGUAACGCGUGAGAAUCUGCCUUGGGGUCGGGGACAACCACUGGAAACGGUGGCUAAUACCGGAUAAGCCGAUUGGUGAAAGAUUUAUUGCCCGAAGAGGAGCUCGCGUCUGAUUAGCUAGUUGGUGAGGUAAGAGCUCACCAAGGCAGCGAUCAGUAGCUGGUCUGAGAGGACGAUCAGCCACACUGGGACUGAGACACGGCCCAGACUCCUACGGGAGGCAGCAGUGGGGAAUUUUCCGCAAUGGGCGAAAGCCUGACGGAGCAAGACCGCGUGGGGGAGGAAGGCUCUAGGGUUGUAAACCCCUUUUUCUUUGGGAAGAACAAAAUGACGGUACCAAAGGAAUCAGCCUCGGCUAACUCCGUGCCAGCAGCCGCGGUAAUACGGAGGAGGCAAGCGUUAUCCGGAAUGAUUGGGCGUAAAGCGUCCGCAGGUGGCAAUGUAAGUCUGCUGUCAAAACCCAGGGCUCAACUCUGGUCAGGCAGUGGAAACUACAUAGCUAGAGUUCGGUAGGGGCAAAGGGAAUUCCCGGUGUAGCGGUGAAAUGCGUAGAGAUCGGGAAGAACAUCGGUGGCGAAAGCGCUUUGCUAGACCGAAACUGACACUCAGGGACGAAAGCUAGGGGAGCGAAUGGGAUUAGAUACCCC
This 662-nucleotide ribosomal RNA is filed under the name uncultured bacterium. Its description in RNAcentral is "bacterial SSU rRNA". It matches the Rfam family "Bacterial small subunit ribosomal RNA", at positions 94 to 788 of the family's 1533-position model. The record is from RNAcentral.